GCCCUUAGAGUUUGAUCAUGGCUCAGGACGAACGCUGGCGGCGGGCCUAACACAUGCAAGUCUUACGGGAAAGCACCUUCGGGUGCGAGUAUAGUGGCGGACGGGUGAGUAACGCGUAUGCAACCUGCCCUUGAGCGGGGGACAGUCACGGGAAACUGUGGUUAAUACCGCAUAAAAUCUUGGUCGCGCCUGCGACCGAGAUCAAAGCCUUCGGGCGCUCUUGGAUGGGCAUGCGUCGGAUUAGCUCGCUGGUGAGGUAACGGCUCACCAAGGCAAUAAUCCGUAGCUGGUCUGAGAGGAUGAUCAGCCACACUGGCACUGAGACACGGGCCAGACUCCUACGGGAGGCAGCAGUGGGGAAUCUUGCACAAUGGAGGCAACUCUGAUGCAGCCACGCCGCGUGGAGGAGGACACCCCUGUGGGGCGUAAACUCCUUUUCUGCCGGAAGAAAACCCUGGUCUCCAGGGCAUGACGGUACGGCAGGAAUAAGCACCGGCUAACUCCGUGCCAGCAGCCGCGGUAAUACGGAGGGUGCAAGCGUUGUCCGGAAUUACUGGGUGUAAAGGGUGCGCAGGCGGGGUAGCAAGUCAGAGGUGAAAGCCCACGGCUCAACCGUG
Molecule: ribosomal RNA, 617 nt
Filed under: uncultured Bacteroidota bacterium
Lineage: Bacteria; Pseudomonadati; Bacteroidota
Description: bacterial SSU rRNA
Rfam family: Bacterial small subunit ribosomal RNA
Source: RNAcentral